UAUAUCGGCCAUACCACCUUGAAAAUGACCAAUCUCAUCUGAUCUUGCAAGAUAAGCUGGGUUGGGUAAAGUUAGUAUGGGGAUGAGAGACCAGUGGAUUGGUAGUGGCUCUGACGAAU
RNAcentral lists this ribosomal RNA (119 nucleotides) under Periophthalmus magnuspinnatus. The record is from RNAcentral. Lineage: Eukaryota; Metazoa; Chordata; Actinopteri; Gobiiformes; Gobiidae.